CACGGUGGAUGCCCUGGCACUGGAACCGACGAAGGACGCGAUUACCUGCGAUAAGCCAAGACGAGCUGGAGAUAAGCGUUGACUCUUGGAUUUCCGAAUGGGGAAACCCACUGCAUUCGCAGUACACCGAAAGGUGAGGGAACGCGGAGAACUGAAACAUCUAAGUACCCGCAGGAACAGAAAGAGACAUCGAUUCCGUCAGUAGCGGCGAGCGAACCCGGAACAGCCCAAACCAGAACGCUCGCGUUCUGGGGUUGAAGGAUCACCAUUUAAGACUCAUCCACUCCACUUGAAGCAACUGGAAAGUUGCACCGUAGAAGGUGACAGUCCUGUAAAGGUACGACUGGAUGACUGAGGUGACACCUGAGUAGGUCGUUGUUCGUGAAACGAUGACUGAAUCCACGCGGACCACCGCGUAAGGCUAAAUAUUCCCAGUGACCGAUAGCGCACAGUACCGUGAGGGAACGGUGAAAAGAACCCCGGAAGGGGAGUGAAAGAGAACCUGAAACCGUGGAUUUACAAGCAGUCAAGGCUCCAUACGUGAGUCUUGGCGUGCCUAUUGAAGCAUGAGCCGGCGACUUAGACCUGUCUUGCAAGCUUAAGUCGAUGACGGAGGCGGAGCGAAAGCGAGUCCGAACAGGGCGAAUCAGUAAGACGGGCUAGACUCGAAACCAGGUGAGCUAAGCAUGACCAGGCUGAAACCCCCGUGACAGGGGGUGGAGGGCCGAACCGGUGCCUGCUGAAACAGUCUCGGAUGAGUUGUGUUUAGGAGUGAAAAGCUAACCGAACCUGGAGAUAGCUAGUUCUCCCCGAAAUGUAUUGAGGUACAGCCUCGGAUGUUGACCCUGUCCUGUAGAGCACUGACAAGGCUCGGGGGCCUACCAGCCUACCAACCCUUAUCAAACUCCGAAGGGGCAGGUGUUUAAAUCCGGGAGUGAGGCUGCGAGAGCUAACUUCCGUAGCCAAGAGGGAAACAACCCAGACCGCCAGCUAAGGUCCCCAAAUAAUCGCUCAGUGGUUAAGGAUGUGUCGUCGCACAGACAGCCAGGAGGUUGGCUUAGAAGCAGCCACCCUUGAAAGAGUGCGUAAUAGCUCACUGGUCGAGUGACGAUGCGCCGAAAAUGAUCGGGGCUUAAGCGAUUUACCGAAGCUGCGGAUUGACUGCGCUUGCGCAGUCACUGGUAGGGGAGCGUUCAAUCCACAGAGAAGCCAUACCGGAAGGAGUGGUGGAGUCGAUUGAAGUGCGGAUGCCGGCAUGAGUAACGUUAAAACAGGUGAGAAUCCUGUUCGCCGUAAGGACAAGGGUUCCUGGGGAAGGGUCGUCCGCCCAGGGAAAGUCGGGGCCUAAGGUGUACCUGAAAGGGGAAGCCGAUGGACAGCAGGUCAAGAUUCCUGCACUGACUGUGUGGAGUGAUGGAGGGACGCAUUACGCUAUCCAAUGCCAAACUACGGCUAUGUUGGUUGGUACGUUCAGGAGGAACGGGUCAGAAAAUCUACCGUUCAUAUCUCUAAGGCGUAUCGGGAGCCUCCUCGGAGGCGAAGUUGGAAACGCGACGGUGCCAAGAAAAGCUUCUAAACGUUGAAACACAGUUACCCGUACCGCAAACCGACACAGGUGUCCGAGUGUCAAUGCACUAAGGCGCGCGAGAGAACCCUCGUUAAGGAACUUUGCAAUCUCACCCCGUAACUUCGGAAGAAGGGGUCCCACCGCUUCGCGGUGGGCGCAGUGAAUAGGCCCAGGCGACUGUUUACCAAAAUCACAGCACUCUGCCAACACGAGAAGUGGACGUAUAGGGUGUGACGCCUGCCCGGUGCCGGAAGGUCAAAGGGAGUGGUGCAAGCUACGAACUGAAGCCCCGGUGAACGGCGGCCGUAACUAUAACGGUCCUAAGGUAGCGAAAUUCCUUGUCGGGUAAGUUCCGACCUGCACGAAAGGCGUAACGAUCUGGGCGCUGUCUCAACGAGGGACUCGGUGAAAUUAUAGUACCUGUGAAGAUGCAGGUUACCCGCGACAGGACGGAAAGACCCCGUGGAGCUUUACUGUAGCCUGAUAUUGAAUUUUGGUACAGUUUGUACAGGAUAGGCGGGAGCCAUUGAAACCGGAGCGCUAGCUUCGGUGGAGGCGCUGGUGGGAUACCGCCCUGACUGUAUUGAAAUUCUAACCUACGGGUCUUAUCGACCCGGGAGACAGUGUCAGGUGGGCAGUUUGACUGGGGCGGUCGCCUCCUAAAGUGUAACGGAGGCGCCCAAAGGUUCCCUCAGAAUGGUUGGAAAUCAUUCGUAGAGUGCAAAGGCAUAAGGGAGCUUGACUGCGAGACCUACAAGUCGAGCAGGGACGAAAGUCGGGCUUAGUGAUCCGGUGGUUCCGCAUGGAAGGGCCAUCGCUCAACGGAUAAAAGCUACCCCGGGGAUAACAGGCUUAUCUCCCCCAAGAGUCCACAUCGACGGGGAGGUU
Molecule: ribosomal RNA, 2455 nt
Filed under: human gut metagenome
Description: bacterial LSU rRNA
Rfam family: Bacterial large subunit ribosomal RNA
Source: RNAcentral